AAUCAACGCUGGCGGCGUGCCUAACACAUGCAAGUCGAGCGCGAAAGGGGAGCAAUCCCCGAGUAAAGCGGCGAACGGGUGAGUAACGCGUGGGUAAUCUGCCUCCGAGUGGGGAACAACACCGGGAAACUGGUGCUAAUACCGCAUGACAUCGCCGGGUCUUCGGACCUGACGAUCAAAGCCGGGGACCGCAAGGCCUGGCGCUUGGAGAGGAGCCCGCGUCUGAUUAGCUAGNGGUGGGGUAAUGGCCCACCAAGGCUACGAUCGGUAGCCGGCCUGAGAGGGCGGACGGCCACACUGGGACUGAGACACGGCCCAGACUCCUACGGGAGGCAGCAGUGGGGAAUUUUCGCAAUGGGCGAAAGCCUGACGAAGCAACGCCGCGUGGAGGAUGAAGGCC
RNAcentral lists this ribosomal RNA (400 nucleotides) under uncultured bacterium. Its description in RNAcentral is "bacterial SSU rRNA". It matches the Rfam family "Bacterial small subunit ribosomal RNA", at positions 29 to 416 of the family's 1533-position model. The record is from RNAcentral.